Molecule: ribosomal RNA, 774 nt
Filed under: uncultured Neocallimastigales
Lineage: Eukaryota; Fungi; Neocallimastigomycota; Neocallimastigomycetes; Neocallimastigales
Description: partial large subunit ribosomal RNA
Rfam family: Eukaryotic large subunit ribosomal RNA
Source: RNAcentral
AGAGAGAGACAUGCGCGCAUAUCAAUAAGCGGAGGAAAAGAAACUAACAAGGAUUCCCCUAGUAACGGCGAGUGAAGCGGGAAGAGCUCAAAUUUGAAAUCUUAAAGGGUUUCCCUUUACGAAUUGUAGUUUAAAGAAGUGUUUUCUGUUGAGGUUUUGGUAAAAGUUCUUUGGAAUAGGACAUCAUAGAGGGUGAGAAUCCCGUAUUUGACCUUUACUUUCAACUUUGUGAUACACUUUCAAAGAGUCGGAUUGUUUGGGAAUGCAGUCCAAAAUGGGUGGUAAAUUUCAUCUAAAGCUAAAUAUUGGCGAGAGACCGAUAGCGAACAAGUACCGUGAGGGAAAGAUGAAAAGAACUUUGAAAAGAGAGUUAAACAGUACGUGAAAUUGUCAAAAGGGAAGCGUUUGACACCAGUGUUGUUUUUCUGAAAAUCAAUUAAAGAACUGUUUAUGCUAAGUUGUUUAGACUUUAUCAGCUAACUGUUUAGUUUUGAGCUUCUCUUUAAUGCACUUUUCAGUUAACAAGUCAACAUCAAUUUCUUUUGCUGUAAAAAAGCUUGAGGAAGGUGGCUUGAGAUUCGUCUUAAGUGUUUAUAGCCUCUUGCCUAUGCAGUCGGAGAGAUUGAGGUCUGCAGCGUAGAUCCUUCGGGGCUAAAUGCAUUUGUGCUAAGUUAUAGCAUUUUAUAGACAACUUGUUGACUAUGAUUUGUCUUGUAGCUUACUCGCUUAUGUUAUUUUACCUACGCUUAGGAUGUUGAGCGCAUGUCUCUCUCU